Molecule: long non-coding RNA, 597 nt
Filed under: Capra hircus (goat)
Lineage: Eukaryota; Metazoa; Chordata; Mammalia; Artiodactyla; Bovidae
Description: lncRNA (ENSCHIG00010023873.1)
Source: RNAcentral
AUGGGGCCUCUGAUGAGGAUGAAAAACCACAACAGCAACAACCUGGUGCUCAGGAGCAGGCCUGAUCCCAGAGACAGAGGGAAGGCCCCUCUGACCACUCCUAAGGGCUGUGCCCACCCCUCGCCCCCCAUGGGGCAGGGUCCAUGGCUCCCAUGGUGGGAGAGCAGCUCCCUGCAGAGAAAGGGAAGCAGGCUCCUACACCCCCAUCCACAAGAAGCCAAUGCAGUAUGUGUGGUGGGGGCUCUGGGGAGGAGGAACAGUGCCCCAAACAUGGGUGGAGAACACCCAGCAAGGUUAAAGCUGGUCCCCAAGAGAGAAGUGAGGGUGGCUUUGAAACUUGCUCAAAUGAACCCUUCAUGGACCCUCCCCCUAACAGAAAGUCCCCUCCCAGAAUUCCCACAAACAAUCCAGGACCUUCUCUGCCUAGCUGGCGCUCAGUGGAUACAGGUUUCUGUGGACACACACACAGUAUGUGGGAGAUGGACUAAGAAAGGCUUCCUAGAGGCUCACAUUUCCAUCUAUUUCCCCAGUAGAUCACAUCAGUGCAGAUUCAUCAACAUCCUAGACUCUUUGCAUUACCUACAUAGUAGAUGGUAG